ACGAACGCUGGCGGCGUGCCUAACACAUGCAAGUCGAACGUGAAAGUCCUUCGGGAUGAGUAAAGUGGCGCACGGGUGAGUAACACGUGGAUAAUCUACCCGACGAUCUGGGAUAACAUUCCGAAAGGGGUGCUAAUACCGGAUAAGCCCACGGGAUCUUCGGAUUCUGCGGGAAAAGGGGGGGACCUUCGGGCCUUCUGUCGUCGGAUGAGUCCGCGUACCAUUAGCUAGUUGGUAGGGUAAUGGCCUACCAAGGCUACGAUGGUUAGCUGGUCUGAGAGGAUGAUCAGCCACACUGGAACUGAGACACGGUCCAGACUCCUACGGGAGGCAGCAGUGGGGAAUUUUGCGCAAUGGGGGAAACCCUGACGCAGCAACGCCGCGUGAGUGAUGAAGGCCUUCGGGUCGUAAAGCUCUGUCAGAGGGAAAGAAAUGUAUUAUGGCUAAUAUCCAUGAUACUUGACGGUACCCUCAAAGGAAGCACCGGCUAACUCCGUGCCAGCAGCCGCGGUAAUACGGAGGGUGCGAGCGUUGUUCGGAAUUAUUGGGCGUAAAGCGCGUGUAGGCGGUCUUUUAAGUCUGAUGUGAAAGCCCCGGGCUCAACCUGGGAAGUGCAUUGGAUACUGGGAGACUUGAAUACGGGAGAGGGCAGUGGAAUUCCUAGUGUAGGAGUGAAAUCCGUAGAUAUUAGGAGGAACACCGGUGGCGAAGGCGGCUGCCUGGACCGAUAUUGACGCUGAGACGCGAAAGCGUGGGGAGCAAACAGGAUUAGAUACCCUGGUAGUCCACGCCGUAAACGAUGAGUACUAGGUGUUGCGGGUAUUGACCCCUGCAGUGCCGCAGCUAACGCAUUAAGUACUCCGCCUGGGAAGUACGGUCG
Molecule: ribosomal RNA, 880 nt
Filed under: uncultured bacterium
Lineage: Bacteria
Description: bacterial SSU rRNA
Rfam family: Bacterial small subunit ribosomal RNA
Source: RNAcentral